CUGCUGCGCGCCAGGCGGGAGGAGGGAAGGAGGCGGCAGAGCCGGGCGAGGGGGGAGGGGAGGCCGGCGCGUCGCCGCCCGCGUUCCAGGCCGCCGCCCGCGUGGACGCCCCUGGCCCGGGGAGGCCUCGACGACGAGCGCGGGCUCCGCAGCCGUCUCGGACCCAGCGCCCAACUCGGGGUCCCACGCGGGCACGAGGAGGCCUCACUGCUGGGCGGGGCCGCGGGAGCCAGUAGCAGACGGCCACGGGGACGGUCGGGGCCUCGAGGCUCCCCCUGACCCCGACCGGCGCCUCCCGAGGCGGGGGAAGCCUCCCUCGGGGCCCGGCCCUGACCGGAGGCCGAUCCCCGCUGCCUACCCGGGCCUCGGCGCCCAGGUCUGGCUUUCCACGCCCGUGAUAGCCGAGGCUGAGGGGUAGGGGGCCCCCUUUGUCCCCAGUUUGGGCUUGAGGCCCUCCCGGAGGCCACCGACGUCCUGAUUUGGUCGCUCAGGGCACACCCUCCAGCCCUGCGCUCUAGAGGCCGGGGGUGGGGGAUGGGGGAGGAGUGCGGCCUGGGAAAGCUGAGCGGGCCUUCCCCGGGAUCCCCCGAGGCGGAGGGCUCUAGGGCUCUUGGCUGGAGAAAGGACAGCUGCCCGGUACCCCCCGACUGAACCAUCGCCCUUUGGACAGCAGGAGCAGCCCUAAUUUCACUGACAAUAAGGUAGGUGUGAGCCCUUUGCCAGCCUGCGAGGGAGAUUUGGGGGGCUUGGGCCUGGAGCCCAGGGAGGGCGGGCACCCCAAACCCGCUAGGCUGGUUCUGCAGCCCCUCCCCCUACAGAUGUGUGGGACUGUGUGUGUGUGAAAUCAGCUCCCUGCUGGGCCUGCUCGGGCCAUCCAUCCCCGCCUGUCAGCUCCUGUUGUCAAGAGUUUGUGGCGUGCAAUUCUAUGCAGUGUUGAGCCUCAUAGGAGGCUGCACUUGCAAGUAUUUCCCAGUUGUGUGUUUUGUGGUGGGGGAGCGGGCCCUUGGUGCCUCUUCUGAAAGGUACUGUCUGCUGCCAGGAAGCCCAGCCCUGCUCUGGCCCUCCCUUCCGGCCCAAGUGGGGGCAUGUGGGGUGACUGUGAAAUGGCCUCUUCCCUCUGAUGUCUAGCUGCUAGGGAGGUGGAGAACACAAGUACCUGAGAUCUGGGCCAGCUUUCUCUGAGAAAGAGGCUUCUGCACUCUUCUCCCCAUUCCUGGGAAUUCCACCAUUCUCUGCACACCCCCCUCCCCCAAAAAGAGUCCUGUUUCUAAAAUCAGACAUAUUGGGAUUUGAAACCUGGCUAGCCAUUUACGUGCUAUGAUUUUGCUUGAGCUGCUUAGUCUCUGAGCCCGUUUCCCCCGGUGCACAAAUGGAGCUGGGUGAGUCCCAGUCUUGAGCAUGCUCAUUAGACUCCAGGGCCCAGUCCUGAGUGUUUGAUUCAGUAGGUGAGGUCUGAGAGCUUGCAUUUCUAACAAGUUCCCAGGUGAUGCUAAUGGCUGCCAUCCAGGGCACAUUUUGAGAACCCUUGGGCUGGGUAACACCUGGAGGUUUUGUGAGGACUACGGGAGCUAAUGCACUUGAAACCCCAAGCUGAGCGCCUGACACAGAGGCGUUAAGCUUCCCAGUAAUGGCAGCUCUCUCCUUUUCUCCUAACACAACCUGUGAUUGCUCAUAGUUUCCCACUGUCUCCAGGAAGCUCCACAGCUGUUAGUGGUGUGGCCCUUGAUCUCUGAUCCCUCCCCCACGUGAUCUCUAGUAAGGGAUUACUUUGAUGAACCAUUUGGGUCCGGGUGCCACUGAUCCCCACCACUCCCCAGGUGGGCUGAGGUUUGGCUUCCUUGUGGGAUGAGCUCUGCCCACUUCUACUCCACCCCACAAUGUGAGGGCUAAACUGAGGUUUUGGGGAGUCAGAAGGGCUUGACCUGGAGAUUUGGUUGAGAGCCAUCCUGGCACUUAAUUAAGGGAGGCUCUAAGUCUGAUGGCUGUGCUGGUGACCUUGGGUGAGUCUCCUGUGUGAAAUGAUAAUAAAAGAUGCUGGAGUGGGAAGAUUAAGUGUGAUUAAGGGGGCUUGGCCUCACGUUCAGGCUUCACACUAGUUGGCCUCCAUUCCCAUGUGGCUGCAGGGAGUGGGGGUUGGGCUGUGUGAGCUCCUCCCCCACCAACCCACCCCCGAGGCACGUGGCAAAGCCUCAGGGCAAAGGGGAAGACUGACUCUCCGUAGGCAGGGAGCCAGCACCGUUUUUCCUCCUGUGUGGUUUGAGUCGGAAUGGUGCCUCUCCCCAGCUUCGCCGGCUAUUCCAUGAUCGGCUCAUAAUUUGGGGUCACUCCCCAAAAACCCGGAGAGUAGAAGUGACUCACCCAAGGUCACGAGGCCACCACUGGCAGCCAGGACGGGGUUCCAGGUGUCUUGACUUGUAGCCCAUCGCCUGUGUCCAUGGCACCCCCCCAUCCCAGCUGUCUGGGUUAUUUUGGGCUCCCUCCCGUGCCAGCUGUCUGCUGGCAUUACUGCCAGGAAGCUGGGAAAGCUGUCUGGCUGAAAGUAACCAGCAUGGUGCACUUGGCUCCUUCUGGCCCCCUUCCCUUGGCCCCAUGAGGGUCUCCAGGUCCAGAUAAGCUGGGUCUGGUCCAUCUUGUCCUUUGCUGGGUGGGGAAGGAGGUUCACUCUGCUGCACCUGGCACCAGACCCCCUUCCCCCUAUGGGGGGGAGGAAGCACUCUGUAAAAGUUGAUGAGGCUCACGUUCUUAAUAUCCCGUGGGCCUCUUCCUUCCAUUCUGACCCCAAACUCAAGAUUUAAAUUCGGUGCUGCUAUUGGAUUGCUCUUUCAACCCCCCUUGAUCCUCACGUGACUGGCUUGCUGCCUGAGGGUGUCCUCCAUCCCUUUAGAUAGAGUCCUUAGGGCUCCCAGAGACCGGGGUCUUUAUGGGGUCUUUAUGUCCCGGGCAUCGGAUGGUUAAAUGAUUUAAAUUUCUCCCUCCCAGCCACAGCCUGGAGCGCUAUAGCCAGCUCCUUCACUCCCGCCCUUGGAACAAUUAGGGAGCAAUUAGGUGUGAAACUGUGGUCUGGGUAUGAUUCUUGGGAGAGGGAGGUGUCCCCAUGACCUGUAAAGAUCAUAACCCCCUCCCCGCUUCCCUUUCUUCUCUUCCACCUUUCUUUGUCCCCCACCCGCACCCCACCCCUAUCACCUCCUGGGGGCAGGGAGAGGAGCAGCAGCCUGUCUGUCCUCUGGCUGUGGUUCCUCCUGGCUCAGAGGUUGGCCCCACCCCCGGGUCACACAGCAAGCUCAGGGCGGGACUCCUCCUGGCGCCAAUCCGGUGGGGCCAGCCUGGAGAGGGCCACGCCAGCGGAAGGGCGGCCCAAGGCUGGGAGGUGGCUGGACCUGCCUCGCUACUGGACACCAGGGUCCCGCCUCUUCCGGCCCAUCCACCGAGAGCCCCAGCCAGGAAUACGACCUUUUGGACCCUCUGGGUGGAGACUGCGUCUGCCUGGACUGUGGCUAGAGGCACCCCGCCAUCUUGGAGGCCGCCUGGGUCAAGCGCUGUCUCCAGCUGGCCAGUUACCUCAGCAAGUUCCUGCCCCUCUGGGAGCUGAGGUCUCCCCAUGUGAACCAGGAAGAGGAAGGUGGUUGAUGACCUUUUGA
Long non-coding RNA from Ailuropoda melanoleuca (giant panda), 3638 nucleotides. RefSeq lists it as uncharacterized. The transcript has 2 exons. The record is from RefSeq and is a predicted model, not a curated record. Lineage: Eukaryota; Metazoa; Chordata; Mammalia; Carnivora; Ursidae.